AAUCCCGCGUAAUUUAGGCAUAUUAGUAAGCGGAGGAAAAGAAACUAACAAGGAUUCCUCGAGUAACGGCGAGCGAAAGAGGAUUAGCCCAGCGCGCAGUCCCCGGGUCCCUGCGGCCCGCGGGAGAUUCCGCGUUUGGGAGGGUCGUCUCUCUCGGUUGCGGCGGCCGGUCCAAGUCCCUCUUGAAUGGGGCCACGGCCCUGAGAAGGUGCCAGGCCUGUGGGAUGGUUGCCGCUUCCGGGAAGACCUCUCCCUAGAGUCGGGUUGCUUGAGAGUGCAGCCCUAAGCUGGUGGUAAACUCCAUCAAAGGCUAAAUAUAACCACGUGACCGAUAGCAAACAAGUACCGUGAGGGAAAGUUGAAAAGAACUUUGAAGAGAGAGUUCAAGAGUACGUGAAACCGUUCGGGGGUAAACGGGUGGAGCCCUAAGUGCCGAGCGGAGAGACUCAGUUCGGCCCCCGCGGCCGGCGUAGUGCGCGCUCCUUGCGUCGAGCCGUCCUCGUGGCGGACGGCGUAGGGAGCGCGUGUUGCGUCCGCGUCGCGGUCCGAGCGCAUUUCUCUCCUAGUAGGGCGUCGCGACCCGCUGGGUGUCGGCUGACGGCCUGGGGAUUAGUCCGGCUCGCUUUGGCGGGCCGGUCCCCCGGUGUCCCGGUCGAUUGCCCGGCGGUGGUGCACGAUAAGCUGGCCCGCGAGACGCUCCGCGUCACACGCCAUCAACCCGGGCGAGCGUUUCGCCGGUGUCCGCGCUCGGGCUUGCCCGACGCGGCCCGUUGAGCGCUGUCGGCCUGGGAAGUGCUCUGGCGGGGUCAACGUCUUCGUCUGCGACGUUAGCAAGUGGGCGGCCCACCCGGCCCGUCUUGAAACACGGACCAAGGAGUCCAGCAUGCGCGCGAGUCGUCGGGAAAGCACUAGAACCCGAAGGCGUAUUGAACGAAAAGGCACGCUUCGGUGGGCCGAGGGGUGAUGGCGGUUUCGGCCGCCCGCAACCCCGGGGCGUCUCGAUCUACCGUAGCUUGUCUGCGGAAGGCGAGGCGCACCUAGAGCGCGCACGCUGGGACCCGAAAGAUGGUGAACUAUGCCUGGUCAGGACGAAGUCAGGGGAAACCCUGAUGGAGGUCCGUAGCGAUUCUGACGUGCAAAUCGAUCGUAAGAGCUGGGUAUAGGGGCGAAAGACUAAUCGAACCAUCUAGUAGCUGGUUCCCUCCGAAGUUUCCCUCAGGAUAGCUGGCGCCCGUUGAACCGAGUCCCAUCCGGUAAAGCGAAUGAUUAGAGGCCUUGGGGUCGAAACGACCUCAACCUAUUCUCAAACUUUAAAUGGGUGGGAUCCGCGGCUUUUUUGAACGUGAAGCCGCGGUCCGGAUCAGGGUGCCAAGUGGGCCACUUUUGGUAAGCAGAACUGGCGCUGUGGGAUGAACCAAACGCCCGGUUAAGGCGCCCGAAGCGACGCUCAUUGGAAACCAUGAAAGGUGUUGGUUGCUUAAGACAGCAGGACGGUGGCCAUGGAAGUCGGAAUCCGCUAAGGAGUGUGUAACAACUCACCUGCCGAAGCAACUAGCCCUGAAAAUGGAUGGCGCUGAAGCGUCGUGCCUAUACCGGGCCGUCGGGGCAGAAGGCGGGGGCAACUCCGCUGCGAAGCCCCGACGAGUAGGAGGGUCGCGACGGUGAGCGCAGAAGGGUCUGGGCGCGAGCCCGCCUGGAGCCGCCGUCGGUGCAGAUCUUGGUGGUAGUAGCAAAUACUCCAGCGAGGCCCUGGAGGACUGAUGUGGAGAAGGGUUCCGUGUGAACAGCCGUUGCACACGGGUCAGUCGAUCCUAAGCCCUAGGAGAAAUCCGAAAAUGGAUAGCGGGAUGUCUUAGCGAAAGCUUCGGUAGGCCCCGUCCGUUGGGCGAAAGGGAAUCUGUUCCUAUUCCAGAACCCGGUUGCGGAACCGCACUCACGAUCCUCGUAUUGACACGGUAACGUGAAUGACCCCAGAGAUGCCGUCUGGAGCCCCGGGAAGAGUUUUCUUUUCUGUUUGAGCGUUCGGGUUCCAUGGAAUCCUCUAGCAGGGAGAUAUGGAAUGGAGCGCGAAGAGCACCGCAGUUGCUGCGGUGUCCGGGGAGUCCCGUCGGCCCUUGAAAAUCUGGGUGAGGAUCACGUGGAGUCGCCGCACCGGCUCGUACCCAUAUCCGCAGCAGGUCUCCAAGGUCAAGAGCCUCUAGUCGAUAGAAU
RNAcentral lists this ribosomal RNA (2211 nucleotides) under Centroptilum luteolum. RNAcentral describes it as "eukaryotic LSU rRNA". It matches the Rfam family "Eukaryotic large subunit ribosomal RNA", at positions 24 to 1896 of the family's 3401-position model. Lineage: Eukaryota; Metazoa; Arthropoda; Insecta; Ephemeroptera; Baetidae. The record is from RNAcentral.